GGCUAAUUGAAAGAGUCUCACUGGACUGGGACUCUUGUGAAGAGUCUCACUGGACGGAGACUCUGGUGAAGAGUCCCACUAGACUGAGACUGUAUCAUUAAUGAAAGAUUAAUUAAUGAUUAGAUUAUUAAUUAACUUAAUUUGAUUGAGCAUUAAAGUCUGGAUCAAGUCUGAUUGAAUUAGAUUCAAUCAGGUCAGAUCUGAUUAGAUUAUGAGAUGA
Molecule: long non-coding RNA, 220 nt
Filed under: Elaeis guineensis (African oil palm)
Lineage: Eukaryota; Viridiplantae; Streptophyta; Magnoliopsida; Arecales; Arecaceae
Description: long non-coding RNA (EGUI_LNC048692)
Source: RNAcentral